GUAAGAUAUUAGUGGUGCCGGCAAAUGAGUUGAAAAUGGGUCAAACAAAACUGAACUCGCUCAUAUUUCAUACACUAAUGGGUAUGAUCACUUUGCUUUUCAGGUUGACCAUUAGAUUUCUGAGAAUCCAGCAAGUUAAAUCAUCACAAAGAGGCAGAGGCUAAGCCAGAACAUCUGUGUUGAAACUGCAGCUGAAAGAAGCACACCAUUUCGUCAUUAAUAAGCUUCAAACAUACUCCAGUAGCCUUGAAAACAUGAUGUGUGAGAACCUUAAAAAGAGCACAUCAAUAAUGCACUACUUUGACAUAUGAACUGAACAUCACAACUCACAAGUGCAAUAAAUAAUGUUUCCACUAGAUUAAGCUGAUUGAAUAAAGAUUGAUUUUCACAAGAGAUGGGAACAGUGAAAAACAACCAACAUAAGCUUAAACCAACAUACUGAGACAUCAUUGACUGUUAGAACUUAUACAUCCAUGUACUCAGGGCAAAGGACUAUACUGUGUACCUACUUCACAUUCGAGUAAACAAGCAAGCAAGGGAAAUACCAUUAUUACUAGUAUCAAUUUAUCAAACACAAUCUUAUCUAGUAUAUUCAAACGUUUCCAAGUCAUGUUGGAUAGGAAGUUAAAAUGAGAAAUCUGGCAAGGAGACACCUCAUAUAUUAUGCAUUAGUAAUCUUGAAUACGAAUCAUGAUGAGCUUAAAUGAAGUAAGAUAAUAAAGAUUCAUAGAGUCGCCCCAACUAGCUUGAAGUGAGGCGUGAUAGUGGUUGUUAAUUGGAAGUCAGUGAGAAUGACAUAAAGAAAAAUCCAUCUGCUUAGAUACACGAAAUUCUGUCAAUAGCGACAGAUAAAUGUGCAAGCACAGUAAGAUAGAAAAAAUAAGUACCGCUGCUGCAUCUCAGUAGCAGGGACUGGACUGGAAAAGGAAACAUCCAUAACUGAAUCCAUUAAACAAUAAAAUGAUUGCCAAGACCAUAAUAGAUUAUCUGCAUUUCAAGAACAAGGAAAUAUUGUUUAGAUGAGUCAAUAUCAUCUUACCAAAAUAUUGCGAGUCGAGUCGUCAGAACAAACAGUUGAGAUAAGUACCUCAGAAAUCGACAAUAAAGCUGCCAAGAAAAAACAUGAGAACAUUCAUGAUUUGGAAGUUCACUAAGGUGUAUUCAGACAGUCAAUUGGAAAGUUUUUGGCAACUGAUUUUCUUUUCACUUGGUUAUUUGGCAACUCUCUUAUUUGCUCACUCUUAGAUAUUUCAAUUAUCAUAUAGAAAAUAUUUAAUACUCCCUUGUCUUAAGAUUCGUUGCUUAACAAGCCUUGACCACUAAACUAAAGGCCUAAAAUUGUGAAGAUUCACCAAAUCCAGCAUUCACCCAUCCACUCCAACCCCAAAUCCCCACUCCCAUUUUUUUUUAUAGAGAAUCUAAGAUUUCUCUCAUUGGAGUUCUAUUGUCAAUAGUUGAGAAAUUACAGUAAUCAAAAUUGAUGAGCUGUCACAAAAGGGAAAACAGAAUAGAUCAAAGUUAAUGACCCCGUAUCAUGAUUAAUCUAUUUCCAUAAAUAAAUGACCAGCUGUAGUCUACUGAUUUCUUAUCUGUCUAUAUAUUUUAUCCGUCGCCUCAGUCAGACAUUUUUAGAUUUUGAAAGCAAAUCCAACUCUAACGUUAGCAACAGUAGCUUCAACCUGAUUUGAACAGGAAUCAUUCAGAACCAGAUUUUAUGGGUAAACAAGGGCCAUGUUGCCAUUGUAGCAUCAAGCGUAAGUUCUAUUAACCACCUAUAUCCCGCCUUUUAUGUUUAUCAAUAAUCUCUUGCUUUACAGGAUAAUUGAUUCAGUGAUAUUUAGAAUUUAUGUGCCUGAUGUUAAGCAAAUAAACAUUGAAGAAUCACAUGCCUGAAACACUAAAUAACCAAAUUUCCCUAAAUUGCCGAUCUGUUAAACAUAAAACAUAGCGAACUUGAAUUUUCUCACCUCUCGAGCCAAAUGUUAAUUGAUUUUCAAAACAGCUCCCCUUAGUCUAACAGGAACCGAGGUCAUCUUGGAUAAAUUGUAGAUUUGGUCCCCAAUCCCUGGCAUAGAUGCACAUUUUGGACCCUGCUGUCUCCCGCUUCAUAUUUGGCACCAAUGACCCUGCUCCACAACAACUGUCUGUCAUUGGCAUAUCUCCAUAACCACUCCAUUCUAAGAGCUUUGCUUUGAAAUUCCAGAUUCUUUAUCCCAAGCCCCCAUUCUUCUUAGCAGUCAUCACAGAUUUCUAUUUUACCAGGUGGUACCCUUUCUUUUCUUUGUUUCCCAGCAACAAAAACUCUCUCUUAAUGUUGUCCAACCUUUUGAUAACCCCUGGUGGGAUGGGAAAUAAACGCAUCAUAUAAGUUGGUAAAGUAUCAAGGACUGAAUUAAUGAGAGUCGGUCUUCCUCUAAGGAGAGGUAUUGAGUUUUCCACCUGGCUAGCUUUUUUUCACACUUCUUUAUCACUCUAUCCCAUAUUUGUAUAGAUUUAGAUUUAGCCCCCAGAGGUAGUCCCAAGUAAAUUGAUGGCAGACUGCCAAAUUCUCCAUCAUGUAUAGCAGCUAGCCAGUUCACGUUGGUGACUUCAUUUAUAGGAUACAUUAGGAUCUUCCUCUAAAAUCUAUGUUGCUUGGACUCUCUGAAAUUGUUGCCGCACCCGUGUCGAAUUCUCCAAAAUGCACUACUUUUGGAGUAUCCGACAUGCACAACUUGACAUUUUUGAAAAAUCUGAGCAACAUAGACUAUAAUACCUACUCCAUUCCUACUCAAACUUCCUGAUUACCUUAACUUGAACCCACCUAUAUCCCUAGUCUUAGUUCCUACCCAUUAGGUGUCCUAAACACAAGGUAUAUUUUUAUUUUAUUUUGAUAACCGAGAAAUCCGUCUGUGACCCGCCCUUUGGACCAAUCACAGCCUUCUAAACUCAGUGGAUAAUGGGCCCGCCCCUCUACCCUUCUCCACUUAAAUACCAGGCUUCGCUUUGCAUGGUGUGGGGAUUGAACCUGCGACACAAGGUAUAUUGAUCCUCCUUCUCUUAAGAAUAAUCACCAACUCUAUUGACUUCCUCGCCAAUGUCCCUAUGUUCCAAGACAGAACUCUCAACCUAGGAGUUCCCUUGGUACCCUUACAACCCCUGCCCUCACCCCAAAUCACUGACAUGACUUUUAACUACCAUCAAACCUUUUGAAGCCACUAAUGCCAGUUAUAGAAUAAUCAAAAGUAAAUAAUCAAGUGGGGCAACCCGUAACGUCAAAAACCCUAGAUCCAAAAGUGGCAGUCACACAAUACAAUGAAGAAAAUAAAAAGAAGCAAUAAACUAUAGCAAAGAUACCAGUUCAAAGUAGGAACAAAGAAAAUGUAGUAAUAUUCACAAGGGCACAAUAAUAAAUUCACAAACACAAUAUCAGAUUUAAUAAAAUCAGUUAACAAUCAAGAAACGAUAAGGUCUGAACAAUCUCUCAAGGAAAAAUCAGGUCUAGAUAAGACAGGAAAAUAUAUAAAAGGGAUGGUGGAUCAUACCUAGGAGUUGAUGGGGAUAAAAAUAAACUAUGGACUGAUUUUCCGAAACCCAGCGAGCUCCGAUAUACUCCUGUCGUCUGUCGGUCGUCGGUCAUCAGGAUGGGGUCGCUGGAUUCUUGCUGACCGGUGUGGAAGUGCAACAAAAAAAAAACAGAGAAAGGGAGAAAGAAAGAGGGCAGGGGGAUUUCGUACCUGGUCGCCGGUGGUGGUGAGAGGUCAGGCCAGCAGCUUGCAGUGCAGGAGAGUAGUGGGUGAUCUGCUUUGGGGGGGGGGAGGGAAUUAUUUUACUGUUGAGCGCUAGAGAAAAGAAUAAGUCCCUGUUGAAUAUUAUACAGUUAACCACUGUCAGAUUAGAUGAUAGCAUUCCUCCUUAAAAUAUCAUGCAAAUAAAUGCAGUCUGCCAAGAGGUUAACUAUUUUGCAUGGUUCCUUAACACAACAAGCAAAUCCUUUUUAAUCUUUCCACCAUCAAGCUAGUUCAACUAUGUUGUAUGGUGCCAUAAGAUGGUGAUGAAAAUGUGUGUACACAUCCUAAAAGUCUAUAUAUGUUUCACAGAAAGAUAUUUCCUCUUGUUUUGCCAAAGAUAUUCCCCGCUAUACGUACUCUAGUUUCGUGACGCUUUUGUUCUCGUACAGUACAUUCUUAACCUUUUAAAGAAAAUCUUAAUUGUCAAUGGUCAUUGUGCUUUAGUUUCUGAGAUAAGUUACCUGUAAGAUUUUAUUCAUAUUUUGUCCCAUUUAAAUGCUAAUUAAUUGUGAACUCAAACAGAAACCCCCCUAUGGAGACCUGGGCCAACUGCAAAACCAGUGCUCUGCAAUGCGUGUGGAAUAAGAUGGCGAACUAGGGGAACACUAGAUGACUAUCUUCCCAAACAUGCAAGCAACGAAAAACAGAGCCAUCAGUUACCUUCUGAGAUGAAGCCGCAUCUCUUAGCUCGUGAUGACCAAAAGCUGGAAGUUGGUGAAGAGAUUUCUGGACAGGAUGGCUCUUCAGCUUGUCUUGAAGAGGAAAUGAUUCACAUAUCAAGCUUAGGUUCAGCAGGAUCAUCCCCAGACAAAUGCAUGCAAAUGGAAGAAACAAAUGGUAAAAAAAUUUCACUUAUAUAUACAUGAUGGACUUAA
RNAcentral lists this long non-coding RNA (4645 nucleotides) under Solanum tuberosum (potato). RNAcentral's name for it is "long non-coding RNA (STUB_LNC002362)". Lineage: Eukaryota; Viridiplantae; Streptophyta; Magnoliopsida; Solanales; Solanaceae. The record is from RNAcentral.